Molecule: small nuclear RNA, 106 nt
Organism: Dromiciops gliroides (monito del monte)
Lineage: Eukaryota; Metazoa; Chordata; Mammalia; Microbiotheria; Microbiotheriidae
Source: RefSeq, a predicted model, not a curated record
GUUUGCUUAGGAAACUCUUCUGUUAAAGUCAGCACAAUACAGGGAAGAUUACCAUGGGCCCUGCAAAAAGAAUGGUAUGUGAAUUCAUGAAAUACUCCAUAUUUUU